This 560-nucleotide ribosomal RNA is filed under the name uncultured Actinomycetes bacterium. Its description in RNAcentral is "bacterial SSU rRNA". It matches the Rfam family "Bacterial small subunit ribosomal RNA", at positions 346 to 916 of the family's 1533-position model. Lineage: Bacteria; Bacillati; Actinomycetota; Actinomycetes. The record is from RNAcentral.
AGGCAGCAGUGGGGAAUAUUGCACAAUGGGCGAAAGCCUGAUGCAGCGACGCCGCGUGAGGGAUGACGGCCUUCGGGUUGUAAACCUCUUUCAGCAGGGAAGAAGCGAAAGUGACGGUACCUGCAGAAGAAGCGCCGGCUAACUACGUGCCAGCAGCCGCGGUAAUACGUAGGGCGCAAGCGUUGUCCGGAAUUAUUGGGCGUAAAGAGCUCGUAGGCGGCUUGUCACGUCGGUUGUGAAAGCCCGGGGCUUAACCCCGGGUCUGCAGUCGAUACGGGCAGGCUAGAGUUCGGUAGGGGAGAUCGGAAUUCCUGGUGUAGCGGUGAAAUGCGCAGAUAUCAGGAGGAACACCGGUGGCGAAGGCGGAUCUCUGGGCCGAUACUGACGCUGAGGAGCGAAAGCGUGGGGAGCGAACAGGAUUAGAUACCCUGGUAGUCCACGCCGUAAACGGUGGGCACUAGGUGUGGGCAACAUUCCACGUUGUCCGUGCCGCAGCUAACGCAUUAAGUGCCCCGCCUGGGGAGUACGGCCGCAAGGCUAAAACUCAAAUGAAUUGACGG